Molecule: ribosomal RNA, 1115 nt
Filed under: Salmonella enterica
Lineage: Bacteria; Pseudomonadati; Pseudomonadota; Gammaproteobacteria; Enterobacterales; Enterobacteriaceae
Also listed under: 1 other name
Description: bacterial SSU rRNA
Rfam family: Bacterial small subunit ribosomal RNA
Source: RNAcentral
AAAUUGAAGAGUUUGAUCAUGGCUCAGAUUGAACGCUGGCGGCAGGCCUAACACAUGCAAGUCGAACGGUAACAGGAAGCAGCUUGCUGCUUUGCUGACGAGUGGCGGACGGGUGAGUAAUGUCUGGGAAACUGCCUGAUGGAGGGGGAUAACUACUGGAAACGGUGGCUAAUACCGCAUAACGUCGCAAGACCAAAGAGGGGGACCUUCGGGCCUCUUGCCAUCAGAUGUGCCCAGAUGGGAUUAGCUUGUUGGUGAGGUAACGGCUCACCAAGGCGACGAUCCCUAGCUGGUCUGAGAGGAUGACCAGCCACACUGGAACUGAGACACGGUCCAGACUCCUACGGGAGGCAGCAGUGGGGAAUAUUGCACAAUGGGCGCAAGCCUGAUGCAGCCAUGCCGCGUGUAUGAAGAAGGCCUUCGGGUUGUAAAGUACUUUCAGCGGGGAGGAAGGUGUUGUGGUUAAUAACCGCAGCAAUUGACGUUACCCGCAGAAGAAGCACCGGCUAACUCCGUGCCAGCAGCCGCGGUAAUACGGAGGGUGCAAGCGUUAAUCGGAAUUACUGGGCGUAAAGCGCACGCAGGCGGUCUGUCAAGUCGGAUGUGAAAUCCCCGGGCUCAACCUGGGAACUGCAUUCGAAACUGGCAGGCUUGAGUCUUGUAGAGGGGGGUAGAAUUCCAGGUGUAGCGGUGAAAUGCGUAGAGAUCUGGAGGAAUACCGGUGGCGAAGGCGGCCCCCUGGACAAAGACUGACGCUCAGGUGCGAAAGCGUGGGGAGCAAACAGGAUUAGAUACCCUGGUAGUCCACGCCGUAAACGAUGUCUACUUGGAGGUUGUGCCCUUGAGGCGUGGCUUCCGGAGCUAACGCGUUAAGUAGACCGCCUGGGGAGUACGGCCGCAAGGUUAAAACUCAAAUGAAUUGACGGGGGCCCGCACAAGCGGUGGAGCAUGUGGUUUAAUUCGAUGCAACGCGAAGAACCUUACCUGGUCUUGACAUCCACAGAACUUUCCAGAGAUGGAUUGGUGCCUUCGGGAACUGUGAGACAGGUGCUGCAUGGCUGUCGUCAGCUCGUGUUGUGAAAUGUUGGGUUAAGUCCCGCAACGAGCGCAACCCU